RNAcentral lists this ribosomal RNA (636 nucleotides) under uncultured bacterium. RNAcentral describes it as "bacterial SSU rRNA". It matches the Rfam family "Bacterial small subunit ribosomal RNA", at positions 202 to 842 of the family's 1533-position model. The record is from RNAcentral.
UAAAGAAUUUCGGUUAUCGAUGGGGAUGCGUUCCAUUAGUUAGUUGGCGGGGUAACGGCCCACCAAGACGACGAUGGAUAGGGGUUCUGAGAGGAAGGUCCCCCACAUUGGAACUGAGACACGGUCCAAACUCCUACGGGAGGCAGCAGUGAGGAAUAUUGGUCAAUGGACGAGAGUCUGAACCAGCCAAGUAGCGUGAAGGAUGACUGCCCUAUGGGUUGUAAACUUCUUUUAUAUGGGAAUAAAACAGGGUAUGCAUACCCUCUUGUAUGUACCAUAUGAAUAAGGAUCGGCUAACUCCGUGCCAGCAGCCGCGGUAAUACGGAGGAUCCGAGCGUUAUCCGGAUUUAUUGGGUUUAAAGGGAGCGUAGGUGGAUUGUUAAGUCAGUUGUGAAAGUUUGCGGCCCAACCGUAAAAUUGCAGUUGAAACUGGCAGUCUUGAGUACAGUAGAGGUGGGCGGAAUUCGUGGUGUAGCGGUGAAAUGCUUAGAUAUCACGAAGAACUCCGAUUGCGAAGGCAGCUCACUAGACUGCAACUGACACUGAUGCUCGAAAGUGUGGGUAUCAAACAGGAUUAGAUACCCUGGUAGUCCACACAGUAAACGAUGAAUACUCGCUGUUUGCGAUAUACAGUAA